AAAUUUUAGCGCCUGCCCCAAUUAUUUGGGUGACGAGGAGGAUAGUAAUCGAAAUUGUCGGCGGAUGCUAUCCCGGUUAGUAGCCGUAAAUACACUUACAAAAAAUAAAAUUAAAAUUAUAACAAAAGAGUGUA
This 134-nucleotide non-coding RNA is filed under the name bovine gut metagenome. RNAcentral's name for it is "glmS glucosamine-6-phosphate activated ribozyme". It matches the Rfam family "glmS glucosamine-6-phosphate activated ribozyme aptamer". Rfam says of the family: This entry contains a glucosamine-6-phosphate activated ribozyme that is found in the mRNA for GlmS. GlmS is an enzyme that uses fructose-6-phosphate and glutamine to generate glucosamine-6-phosphate. The record is from RNAcentral.